AGCACUUUAUGUUUUGUAGGUUUAUUUUCUUCAGACAGGGCACACACAGUCAUGUCUCCUUUGUGGCAAAACCUUCAAACUUCACCAUCCUCAGCUGAAACAACAACAUCUUAACACCAUCUUCAUGAACUGCUGAGCCAAACCUGAUCCAUCAGUGCUGGACUGCACAGAUAACUACAUGCCACAAGGAGACUGCUGUUUUAUGAACUGCCACACCAGUGUGUCUUCAAUGGAGAAGAUUACAUCACCUGACCUCCUGCCUAAUCUAGAAACCAUCACUAUGCUGCCACAGUCGACACCUCUGAAACCAUCAAGGAUGACUUAUACUGAGGAAACUGCAUUUCCUGUCAGUCCAGUGAUCUACAGAAAGGUACUGCUGUCUUCUGAGUUUUUCAGUUUCCAAACUGAGACAUUCAAACCUCAUCACAGAGCUUGUGUCUAUCUUCACCAAUCUCACACUCACAUGGUGUGAGAUUGCUCUGGAUUCUGGUUAUUGGCCUGCAGCACCUAUGAGAACAAGCUCGUCCUGCAUGCCUGCAUUCCAGCUUCUUAGAUUCUACACAAGUGGACAGAGUGUCAGUGUUUGACCGCUCUUUUAGACACCAACUUCUGUCACCUCACUCCAGGAAGACAGGGCUGCAAGUCUGUCAUCGUUUCCAGUGUGACUUUGCAUUCUUGGGGUAGCAUCAGAUUUUUCCCACAAAUAUUCAAAGAUUUAGAUGCAGUGAUCAGAUGUGCUGGAGCUUUGUUAACCGUGUGGAAAACAUCUGUUUGUGAUGGUAUUCAAAAUGAGGCUUUAAGGUGACAGUUUCCUUGUGAUUUCAGUCCUUAUACUAAACAAAAACAUUUUUAAUUAACAUAUUAUUUUUUUAGCAGCACAUCAUUGUUCAAAGGUAAAUAGAGCCACAUGUCACACCAACAAUGAAUUUUUAACUCUGUUUGUGUCACCAGAUUUAACAAACAAUAUUGGACAUAUAAAACUGAACUUUAGAUUAAUGUGCACAUAUAUUGUUUUGUAUUUUUGAUUGUUGAACAAUUAUGUUGUAGAAAAAAAUCCAAUCUAUUUACCCAAACAAUGUAACUUGUUUGGGUAAAUAGUGGAUUAGUGUAAUUUUAGUCUAUAAGCAUAGCAACCUGAAUUCAUACAAACACACAGCUCUAAAUCUUGAAUUGUAGAAUGCACAAUAAUGAUCAUUUGAUUAUUAUGGACAUUUAAAUCAGAAUCUAUUGAACCAGACACAUAUUCUUUAUAGAGGUUACACAAUCUCAAAAAAAAGAAAGUGUUUAAGAGGAUAAGUAAAGAAAGUGUGUUUGUAUGAAUAUUGUCUCAGUAUGGGGUGUCAGUAAGUACAUGAGUAUAGAAUAGGUGUAACAGUGGUUUUCCACAUCUGUGCUUAGACUGCUCUAAUAUAUAUAGAUAAUGGGUCAGACAUAUAGUUUGACCUCUUAAGUCUGUUUGAAAAGUUCAUGAAGGUCUCAUCCAGUCAUAUGUGUUUCUGUUUAUCAUUUUAUGAGGUCACACAGCUGACAUGAGUCAGAGUAGAACCAUAAUAUUCAUGUUAAUGAGUCUACUGUUUACAGCUACUUCAUGAUGACUUUCAUCCUGGUCACAGUACUAUGUGAAAAGCUGUAAGAGGUAAAGUUAACCCAAAUAAUAUCUGAUCAUAAGUCACUCUCUAACAUUGAUUAUUUUUCAAUAUAAUUUAUUCCACAACAAUGUUCUUUAUUUUAUCCCUGUUUCUUCAAAUAUGCACAUCAAUUGUUCAGCUGUGUGACUCUCCAUACCUGAAAUAUAUCACAAUGUGAACUUCAUUUCAACAGUAUUCCUUAGUUUGGUACCAUAUUUAUCAUCAAAUCAGGAAACUGUAAACUAAUUGAAAAAAGAAGCUUUUGAACAUUUUAAUGUGUAAAAAUAUAUAUAUGUAUAUGUAUAAUUUUUUAAAUUAAUAGAACAUAAACAUGGCAAACAAAGAUAUAUUCACAAUUCCAACGGAUGCUUCAAUUGUUUGUAUAGAUUUUAGAUUAAUUUGGUCAAACAUCUGUUUGAAACUGUGGUUAUCAGAGUGUUGAUAAGAAUGCCUUGAAAAGUUCAUGACGGUCACAUUCAAUGAUAUGUCUUUCUGUUUAUCAUUACUUUUGAGUGACACAGCUAACUUGAGUUUUGAUCAGACUAGAACCAUAAAGCUGUUAGUAGUAAAGUUAAACCAAGGAAUAACUUAUCAUAAGUCACUCUCUAACACGGGGCAGUUUUUCAAUUAUUUAUUAAUUAUUAUUCAAUUAAUUUUCAAUGUUAUUUAUUUCACAACUUUAACGUUCUUUAUUUUUUUUUCCCGUUUCUUUAAAUAUGCACAUGUGAAUGUCUGUUUUAAUUCACUGCCUGUGAAUGCCUUUAAAAAACGCUUCAGGAGCUGGCAGCCAGUAUCAGCAGCUCCAGCCUGACAGAGUCCUUUUUUCCCUUUAAUAUUUGUUUCUUUGUUGUUCUUGUGAAUCUUGUUUUUGUUUUUCUAUUGUGGACGGUGGACUGAGUUCCCACUUAGGACUGUGGAUUGAGCUUUUCUAUUGUGGACUGAUCUCCUACAAUGGAGCUCAGAAUUUUAUGGACAAUCGUUUUCCUUAUUGCAUUUUUUACGGCAUCUGUGUCCGGAGAGCGCGUGGAGAUCCAACCUCGCAUUCUUUACAGCAGGGAUCUGUUGUUAGCCAGCAGCUGUUAGCCCUUGGCGCUUCCGCUGUUCUGCCUACCACCGAGCAAGCCAACAUCCCCCAUGAGGUGAGAAGGGAGAGACGCAGUACUCGGGCCGGGAUCGGGCAUCGCAGCAAGGUUAGGAGGUACCGGCCUGCAAUUCCAUCUGUUAUUAUGGGGAACGUGAGAUCUCUCCCCGACAAAGUGGAUGAAUUGGCAGCUAUGACCCAACAUUAGCUGCAGACUGUAACCAGC
Oreochromis aureus is the source of this 2935-nucleotide long non-coding RNA. RefSeq lists it as uncharacterized. Lineage: Eukaryota; Metazoa; Chordata; Actinopteri; Cichliformes; Cichlidae. The record is from RefSeq and is a predicted model, not a curated record. The transcript has 4 exons.